Molecule: ribosomal RNA, 646 nt
Filed under: uncultured bacterium
Lineage: Bacteria
Description: bacterial SSU rRNA
Rfam family: Bacterial small subunit ribosomal RNA
Source: RNAcentral
UGCAAGUCGAGCGAUGAGAUCCCUUCGGGGUUUGAUUAGCGGCGAACGGGUGAGGAACACGUGAGGAAUCUACCUUCUACACUGGGAUAACUCCGGGAAACCGGGGCUAAUACCGGAUAUGAAACUUGGUGGCAUCACCGAGUUUGGAAAGUUUUUCGGUAGAAGAUGACCUCGCGGCCUAUCAGCUUGUUGGUGAGGUAAUGGCUCACCAAGGCGACGACGGGUAGCCGGCCUGAGAGGGCGACCGGCCACACUGGGACUGAGACACGGCCCAGACUCCUACGGGAGGCAGCAGUGGGGAAUAUUGGGCAAUGGAGGAAACUCUGACCCAGCGACGCCGCGUGCGGGAUGAAGGCCUUCGGGUUGUAAACCGCUUUCAGCAGGGAAGAAGCGAAAGUGACGGUACCUGCAGAAGAAGCACCGGCUAACUAUGUGCCAGCAGCCGCGGUAAUACAUAGGGUGCAAGCGUUGUCCGGAAUUAUUGGGCGUAAAGAGCUCGUAGGUGGUUCGUAACGUCGGGUGUGAAAAUCUGGGGCUCAACCCCAGACCUGCAUUCGAUACGGGCGAACUAGAGUGUGGUAGGGGAGACUGGAAUUCCUGGUGUAGCGGUGGAAUGCGCAGAUAUCAGGAGGAACACCAAUGGCGA